Molecule: long non-coding RNA, 1223 nt
Filed under: Piliocolobus tephrosceles (Ugandan red Colobus)
Lineage: Eukaryota; Metazoa; Chordata; Mammalia; Primates; Cercopithecidae
Description: lncRNA (ENSPTEG00000002342.1)
Source: RNAcentral
AAAAAAAACCAUUUAUAUUACCAAUUUGUUUUUUUGUUUUUAAUUUGUUUAUGUGUAUAUUCAGUUAUGACAUUAUAUAUAUUUUUAAAAUUUUUUUUUUAUUUCUUUUUAACUAUUUUUAUCAUAUUGUUUGUAUUUUAUUAUAAUAACAAUUAUUACGAUGAUUAUAAAUUCGAUGAAGAUAGUUACUAUAGGAACAAAAGUCAUAAUAACAACAUUUAUAGGUGCUCUGUAAAUGUGCCAGUAGCCAUCGAUAUAAUGAUUACACAUCUUACGAAUAAUAUAAAUUAUUAUUUUAAUAAUAAAGAGUAUAACAAAAAAAUUCACAAAAUUAAAGAUAAUGACAUGCUUAUACAACAUAUAGUUUCUUGUGAAGAUUUAAAUAUUAAUGAAAACAAUAACUUUUUUUUUUUUUUUAUUUUAAAAUUUUGUAAACCAAGAAUAUACUAUCGCACACAAUAUAUAAAGCAGCGAUUAAAUAGUGAUGUACAAAAUGAAAAAAUUAAUCAACAUCGUCGUUCUUAUUUGUUUAUACAAUGUACAAAUGAAAAUGCCUAUAAAAUAUUUCGGACAGGUAGUAGCACAGGUAGUAGCACUGGUAGUUGCACUGGUAGUUGCAUAUAUAACCAUACACCUGACAAUAGCACUAUACACAAUCAACUAUUACAUGACGCCAUUUAUAACAAUCACAUGUUCAAACAAGGACAUAAUGGAAGUAAUAAAAAGGCUGAAUUAGACGCACAAUACAAAACCAAUAACCGUAGUGCACAAAAUAACGAGAAGGAAAAAACAGAAAAUCAAAUUUUCGAACACUUAAAAAAUAAAGAUUCAGUUUUAAACACUUUAAAAAAAUUGUUACAAACACAGUUUAAACAAAAUGAUCAGACUAUGCGUUUGUUUUCUUUAAUUAAUAAUAAAUUAAUUUUUUUUUUUAAAAAACUAAAAAAGUAUUACUUGUCUGAAUAUAUUACAGCACAUGGUUUCGACGUAUUUUUAAUUGAGGAAAAAGAAAAAAAUAUAUGCACUGUAAAUCUGUUUUCAAGCCAUAACUACGAUAUGUAUAUUUUAAAUGACCAGUUAAAUUAUGAAAGGUGUUACAAUAUAUGUAAAAGAUUACUAUCAAGAGUGAAUUUCCAGUUGUUAAAUGCAGGUGACAAAUAAAAAAAAAAACGGGAAGUAGGAUGAGCAAAUGGGUAGAUAAAUAAAAUAAAAAAUUAAUAACA